UUCUUCUGCUCCUUGCCUCCUUCCCUUCUUCUGCGUUCUUCAGUUGUGAAUUGAAUCUCGGAUAAACAAUGAAUCAUUUGGCACGAUUCUCUGGAAGCUAGGUCUUUAUCUCUCUCAGGUGCAAGUGAGAGAUGAGCAGCUGCUGCGGCUGUCAAGUUUGAAUCAAGAGAAAUCAGAGAUUUCGAUUUGUAAAAGCGUGAUCUGAGAUCUGAUGAUGAAUUAAAUUCAAAAAUCACGAUAACCCUUUGAUUCAGAUUAAGUUUUCAGUACUUAUACAGAGAGAUCUCAACCGGUGUACAGUUCAUCAAUUUUGCUUAAGUGUGAAUCUGGUGGUGUCUUUUAUUCAAUUCAAAGAAGAAGAAGUUUCUUUCCAUAAACAAGUUAUAAUCUUCUGGUUCUUGGAGUUUAUUUCGCAGGUAAAUGUUACUAGACAUCUAUAGAUCAUUCUCGUGGACUGUGGUUGAGUACGCUUGUUCUGAUUGCAACAUGCCUGCUAUGACAAAGAGUUUUGAGCACCACAAUUUUGGGCACAUAUUUGACAAGCUUACCGAAGAAAUUGGAAGUCCAGUCGAAUUUGAACUGCCAGACUGGGUAAAGGAUCAGAAUCCUAAUACCUACACCUUCAUAAGACG
Papaver somniferum (opium poppy) is the source of this 632-nucleotide long non-coding RNA. RefSeq lists it as uncharacterized. The record is from RefSeq and is a predicted model, not a curated record. NCBI's taxonomy places the organism in Eukaryota, Viridiplantae, Streptophyta, Magnoliopsida, Ranunculales, Papaveraceae. The transcript has 4 exons.